GAUGAACGCUGGCGGCGUGCCUAAUACAUGCAAGUCGAGCGAACGGACGAGAAGCUUGCGGCUCUGAUGUUAGCGGCGGACGGGUGAGUAACACGUGGAUAACCUACCUAUAAGACUGGGAUAACUUCGGGAAACCGGAGCUAAUACCGGAUAAGAUUUUGAACCGCAGGGGUCAAAAGUGAAAGACGGUCUUGCUGUCACUAAUAGAUGGAUCCCGGCUGCAUGAGCUAGUAGGUACGGUAACGGGUUACGAAGGCAACGAUGCAUAGCCGACCUGAGGGGCUGAUCGGCCACAUUGGAACUGGGACACGGUCCAGACUCCUACGGGACGCAGCAGUCGGGAAUGGUCCGCAGUAGGCGAAAACCUGACGGAGCAACGCCGCGUGUGAGAUGACGGUGCCCGGAUCGUAAUGCUCUGUUACUAGUGAAGAACAUAUGUGUAAGUAACUGUGCACAUCUUGACGGUACCUAGUCAGAAAGCCCCGGCUAACUACGUG
RNAcentral lists this ribosomal RNA (497 nucleotides) under uncultured bacterium. RNAcentral's name for it is "partial 16S ribosomal RNA". It matches the Rfam family "Bacterial small subunit ribosomal RNA", at positions 28 to 507 of the family's 1533-position model. The record is from RNAcentral.